This 99-nucleotide non-coding RNA is filed under the name Vallitalea guaymasensis. RNAcentral describes it as "yjdF RNA". It matches the Rfam family "azaaromatic riboswitch aptamer (yjdF RNA)". Lineage: Bacteria; Bacillati; Bacillota; Clostridia; Lachnospirales; Vallitaleaceae. The record is from RNAcentral.
AUUGAAGAUAAAAACACAGUUUUGGUUGGUAGUCCAAACGUAUCAUAUAUGAUAUCAGUAACCUGCCCCCCCUGGGGUUGUCCAUUCUUCAUAAUAAUA